RNAcentral lists this long non-coding RNA (1197 nucleotides) under Pogona vitticeps (central bearded dragon). RNAcentral describes it as "lncRNA (ENSPVIG00000017347.1)". The record is from RNAcentral. Lineage: Eukaryota; Metazoa; Chordata; Lepidosauria; Squamata; Agamidae.
AGUUGAGCUCUGCCUUCUAUUCCUUUAUUGGAAGAAAGGCAAGACAUGCAUAAAAUAAAUAAAUACAUACUGCAAAUGUUUAAAGGUAUAGAAUAUUCAGAAGUGGUUUACCAGUCCUUUCUUUUGGGGCCAUCCUGGGAUUGUGCAGCUUGCCCAAGGCUACACAGACUGGUAUUUUUUCUCCAACCUCUCUCUAAUGCAUUGAGUUAUUCAGCCAGCUCAUUUUUAGGGCAAACUACAGGGCCAACACAUUCGGUAGCAUCCAUUUAAAAUGGAGUUCACCACUAUCUGUGUAAUACUUCCUCUUCACUGACAAAUUUCUCCUUUGGGUUCUGUUUUUCCUCCCAUAUGAUCCUAGAAUAUGACAAAUUUGGGGCCUUUUUAUAGGUUUCAAGAAUUUUGACUGGUGACUCUGUAUAUGGGGAAGGGGUCCUCUCCCGAUAUAGCUCCCCUUGUCAAAUUUAGAAGCACAGUAUCAAUUCACAAAUUCAGAGGAGUAACAAGAGAGGAUCAGGUUGCAGUGAAGUCUGAUUAUUCUUUGUCUUCCGUCAUUAAGGCUACUGUAUCUAAUCAAGAAUUUCAGCUUCAAGAAGUCUUGGAACGGGCUGAAAAAAAUAAACCAGAUAGUCCAUUCUUCACUGAUUUCGAAAUAAAUGAAUUACAUAGUAAUCCAUCAAGGAAAGAAUCUCCCAACACACCUCAUCAUAGUUCAGACACAAGUGGAAGAGGGUUGGACAGCAAAUCCUCAAAUUAUUUUACAUCCUUGGAUUCAACUGUUGGAGAUUUAGAACAAAGAACCCAACAACUUAUUGAUAAGAUUAAUGAAAAUCGGAAACAAGAUCAUGUAUUCAUGAACAAUUGUAGAGAAAGUCUUCUGAUGAAGGUAAAUAUAUCUGAAUAUAAAGAAAUAGCAAAGUUUUGUGUAGCACCCUUGUUACUGAACUUUAAGAAUUCAGAUUGUUACAAUCAUACUCAUCAGUGGUCUUUUGGUAUGUUAAGUUUGCCCAUUGAGUAUUAAUCAUGCUUACCCAGAGUAUUAAUCGCUUACAUUUUUGGCUAUUUAUUUAUGGAGACCAGUAGGAAGCAAAAGCAGUCAACAUCAUUUGGCUCAAGUGAGACCCAAAAUUAUAGAAUCAUAGAAUAAGAGAAAGCACCUAUAAAGGCCAUCAAGGCCAACCUGCUGCAAAGUGCAGGAAU